This 284-nucleotide long non-coding RNA is filed under the name Gallus gallus (chicken). RNAcentral describes it as "long non-coding RNA NONGGAT001220". Lineage: Eukaryota; Metazoa; Chordata; Aves; Galliformes; Phasianidae. The record is from RNAcentral.
AUCAGAAUAUACCUGAGGGAUGGCAUUAUGAAGACACAUACGUGAUUGUCUGGCACGAAAGUAAGGGAACAUUCACCACUUCCUCCCAAGUAAAACAAUCAAUUUUCACCAUCUUUCUGGAAAUGUCACUACCCUUGCCAACUGAGAGCAUUCCUCUCGUCAAAAGAAAAAGAGCAGUCAGAAAUUCCAAAGACCCUCUCCAUACACCCCAACCUGGAUAUAACUGAGAAGGUUCUCCAGAAGAUUGAUACAUGUACAGUAACUUGAAAAAAUAUUCAUCCUUA